This 74-nucleotide transfer RNA is filed under the name Spirochaetia bacterium. Its description in RNAcentral is "tRNA-Gly". It matches the Rfam family "tRNA". From Rfam's summary of the family: Transfer RNA (tRNA) molecules are approximately 80 nucleotides in length. Their secondary structure includes four short double-helical elements and three loops (D, anti-codon, and T loops). Lineage: Bacteria; Pseudomonadati; Spirochaetota; Spirochaetia. The record is from RNAcentral.
GCGGGAUUAGUAUAGUGGCAGUACGUCACCUUCCCAAGGUGAAGGCGCCAGUCCGAUUCUGGUAUCCCGCUCUA